This 496-nucleotide ribosomal RNA is filed under the name uncultured bacterium. Its description in RNAcentral is "partial 16S ribosomal RNA". It matches the Rfam family "Bacterial small subunit ribosomal RNA", at positions 28 to 507 of the family's 1533-position model. The record is from RNAcentral.
GACGAACGCUGGCGGCGUGCCUAAUACAUGCAAGUCGAGCGGACAGACGGGAGCUUGCUCCCUGAUGCUAGCGGCGGACGGGUGAGUAACACGUGGGUAACCUGCCUGUAAGACUGGGAUAACUCCUGGAAACCGGGGCUAAUACCGGAUGGUUGUCUGAACCGCAUGGUUCAGACAUAAAAGGUGGCUUCGGCCACCACUUACAGAUGGACCCGCGGCGCAUUAGUUAGUUGGUAAGGUAACGGCACACCAAGGCAACGAGGCGUAGCCGACCGGAGAGGGGGUUGGCCACACCUGGACCGGGGACCCGCCCAGGCUCCUAAGGGGAGGAGCAGGAGGGGAACUUCCGCAAUUGACGGAAGGCUGGAGGGAGAAAGGCGCGUGGGGGGUGAAGGGUCUCGGAUCGUAAAGCUCUGUUGUUAGGGAAGGAAAAGUGCCGUACAAAUAGAGCGGCACCUUGACGGUACCUAACCAGAAAGCCACGGCUAACUACGUG